UCAGGAUGAACGCUGGCGGCGUGCUUAACACAUGCAAGUCGAACGGAGUUUUAACGGAAGUUUCGGAUGGAAGUUUAGAACUUAGUGGCGGACGGGUGAGUAACGCGUGGGUAACCUGCCUCAUACAGGGGGAUAACAGUUAGAAAUGACUGCUAACACCGCAUAAUAUAGCGAAACCGCAUGAUUUUUGCUAUCAAAUAUUUAUAGGUAUGAGAUGGGCCCGCGUCUGAUUAGCUAGUUGGUGGGGUAAAGCCUACCAAGGCGACGAUCAGUAGCCGGCUUGAGAGAGUGACCGGCCACAUUGGGACUGAGACACGGCCCAAACUCCUACGGGAGGCAGCAGUGGGGAAUAUUGGACAAUGGGGGAAACCCUGAUCCAGCGAACCGCCGCGUGAGUGAAGAAGUAUUUCGGUAUGUAAAGCUCUAUCAGCAGGGAAGAUAAUGACAGUACCUGACUAAGAAGCCCCGGCUAACUACGUGCCAGCCGCAGC
This 491-nucleotide ribosomal RNA is filed under the name uncultured bacterium. Its description in RNAcentral is "bacterial SSU rRNA". It matches the Rfam family "Bacterial small subunit ribosomal RNA", at positions 24 to 518 of the family's 1533-position model. The record is from RNAcentral.